GAUGAACGCUGGCGGCGUGCUUAACACAUGCAAGUCGAACGAUGAAGCCCAGCUUGCUGGGUGGAUUAGUGGCGAACGGGUGAGUAACACGUGAGUAACCUGCCCUUGACUCUGGGAUAAGCCUGGGAAACUGGGUCUAAUACCGGAUAGGAACGUCCACCGCAUGGUGGGUGUUGGAAAGAUUUAUCGGUCAUGGAUGGACUCGCGGCCUAUCAGCUUGUUGGUGAGGUAAUGGCUCACCAAGGCGACGACGGGUAGCCGGCCUGAGAGGGUGACCGGCCACACUGGGACUGAGACACGGCCCAGACUCCUACGGGAGGCAGCAGUGGGGAAUAUUGCACAAUGGGCGAAAGCCUGAUGCAGCGACGCCGCGUGAGGGAUGACGGCCUUCGGGUUGUAAACCUCUUUCAGUAGGGAAGAAGCGAAAGUGACGGUACCUGCAGAAGAAGCACCGGCUAACUACGUGCCAGCAGCCGCGGUAAUACGUAGGGUGCGAGCGUUAUCCGGAAUUAUUGGGCGUAAAGAGCUCGUAGCGGUUUGUCGCGUCUGUCGUGAAAGUCCGGGGCUUAACCCCGGAUCUGCGGUGGGUACGGGCAGACUAGAGUGCAGUAGGGGAGACUGGAAUUCCUGGUGUAGCGGUGGAAUGCGCAGAUAUCAGGAGGAACACCGAUGGCGAAGGCAGGUCUCUGGGCUGUAACUGACGCUGAGGAGCGAAAGCAUGGGAAGCGAACAGGAUUAGAUACCCUGGUAGUCCAUGCCGUAAACGUUGGGCACUAGGUGUGGGGACCAUUCCACGGUUUCCGCGCCGCAGCUAACGCAUUAAGUGCCCCGCCUGGGGAGUACGGCCGCAAGGCUAAAACUCAAAGGAAUUGACGGGGGCCCGCACAAGCGGCGGAGCAUGCGGAUUAAUUCGAUGCAACGCGAAGAACCUUACCAAGGCUUGACAUGUUCUCGAUCGCCGUAGAGAUACGGUUUCCCCUUUGGGGCGGGAUCACAGGUGGUGCAUGGUUGUCGUCAGCUCGUGUCGUGAGAUGUUGGGUUAAGUCCCGCAACGAGCGCAACCCUCGUUCCAUGUUGCCAGCACGUAAUGGUGGGGACUCAUGGGAGACUGCCGGGGUCAACUCGGAGGGAGGUGGGGACGACGUCAAAUCAUCAUGCCCCUUAUGUCUUGGGCUUCACGCAUGCUACAAUGGCCGGUACAAUGGGUUGCGAUACUGUGAGGUGGAGCUAAUCCCAAAAAGCCGGUCUCAGUUCGGAUUGGGGUCUGCAACUCGACCCCAUGAAGUCGGAGUCGCUAGUAAUCGCAGAUCAGCAACGCUGCGGUGAAUACGUUCCCGGGCCU
This 1342-nucleotide ribosomal RNA is filed under the name uncultured bacterium. RNAcentral describes it as "bacterial SSU rRNA". It matches the Rfam family "Bacterial small subunit ribosomal RNA", at positions 28 to 1381 of the family's 1533-position model. The record is from RNAcentral.